CGACAGUGCGAUAGGGGGACUCCGAGUGUGAGGGCAUAUAGCCCUCGCUUUUCUGUACCGUAAGGUGGUACAGGAACAAGGACUGGGCAAGACCGGUGCCAGCCGCCGCGGUAAUACCGGCAGUCCGAGUGAUGGCCGAUAUUAUUGGGCCUAAAGCGUCCGUAGCUUGCUGUGUAAGUCCAUUGGGAAAUCGACCAGCUCAACUGGUCGGCGUCCGGUGGAAACUACACAGCUUGGGGCCGAGAGACUCAACGGGUACGUCCGGGGUAGGAGUGAAAUCCUGUAAUCCUGGACGGACCACCAAUGGGGAAACCACGUUGAGAGACCGGACCCGACAGUGAGGGACGAAAGCCAGGGUCUCGAACCGGAUUAGAUACCCGGGUAGUCCUGGCCGUAAACAAUGCUCGCUAGGUAUGUCACGCGCCAUGAGCACGUGAUGUGCCGUAGUGAAGACGAUAAGCGAGCCGCCUGGGAAGUACGUCCGCAAGGAUGAAACUUAAAGGAAUUGGCGGGGGAGCACCACAACCGGAGGAGCCUGCGGUUUAAUUGGACUCAACGCCGGACAUCUCACCGGUCCCGACAGUAGUAAUGACAGUCAGGUUGACGACUUUACUCGACGCUACUGAGAGGAGGUGCAUGGCCGCCGUCAGCUCGUACCGUGAGGCGUCCUGUUAAGUCAGGCAACGAGCGAGACCCGCACUUCUAGUUGCCAGCAACACCCUUGUGGUGGUUGGGUACACUAGGAGGACUGCCAUUGCUAAAAUGGAGGAAGGAACGGGCAACGGUAGGUCAGUAUGCCCCGAAUGGACCGGGCAACACGCGGGCUACAAUGGCUCUGACAGUGGGAUGCAACGCCGAGAGGCGACGCUAAUCUCCAAACGGAGUCGUAGUUCGGAUUGCGGGCUGAAACCCGCCCGC
Molecule: ribosomal RNA, 918 nt
Filed under: uncultured Halobacteria archaeon
Lineage: Archaea; Methanobacteriati; Methanobacteriota; Halobacteria
Description: bacterial SSU rRNA
Rfam family: Archaeal small subunit ribosomal RNA
Source: RNAcentral